AUUGAUCGCUGGCGGCAGGCCUAACACAUGCAAGUCGAGCGAGCGGCGGAAGGGUGAGUAAUGUUUGGGAAACUGCCUGAUGGAGGGGGAUAACUACUGGAAACGGUAGCUAAUACCGCAUUCCAUCAGCUGUGCCCAGAUGGGAUUAGCUAGUCGGUGGGGUAACGGCUCAACUAGGCGACGAUCCCUAGCUGGUCUGAGAGGAUGACCAGCCACACUGGAACUGAGACACGGUCCAGACUCCUACGGGAGGCAGCAGUGGGGAAUAUUGCACCAGGGGCGCAAGCCUGAUGCAGCCAUGCCGCGUGUGUGAAGAAGGCCUUCGGGUUGUAAAGCACUUUCAGCCGGGAGGCGUUACCCCCAGAGGAAGCACCGGCUAACUCCGUGCCAGCCGCCGCGGUAAUAC
RNAcentral lists this ribosomal RNA (406 nucleotides) under uncultured bacterium. Its description in RNAcentral is "partial 16S ribosomal RNA". It matches the Rfam family "Bacterial small subunit ribosomal RNA", at positions 30 to 526 of the family's 1533-position model. The record is from RNAcentral.